RNAcentral lists this ribosomal RNA (468 nucleotides) under uncultured bacterium. RNAcentral describes it as "partial 16S ribosomal RNA". It matches the Rfam family "Bacterial small subunit ribosomal RNA", at positions 28 to 507 of the family's 1533-position model. The record is from RNAcentral.
GACGAACGCUGGCGGCGUGCUUAACACAUGCAAGUCGAACGGAAAGGCCCUGCUUUUGUGGGGUGCUCGAGUGGCGAACGGGUGAGUAACACGUGAGUAACCUGCCCUUGACUUUGGGAUAACUUCAGGAAACUGGGGCUAAUACCGGAUAGGAGCUCCUGCUGCAUGGUGGGGGUUGGAAAGUUUCGGCGGUUGGGGAUGGACUCGCGGCUUAUCAGCUUGUUGGUGGGGUAGUGGCUUACCAAGGCUUUGACGGGUAGCCGGCCUGAGAGGGUGACCGGCGACAUUGGGACUGAGAUACGGCCCAGACUCCUACGGGAGGCAGCAGUGGGGAAUAUUGCACAAUGGGCGGAAGCCUGAUGCAGAAACGCCGCGUGCGGGAUGACGGCCUUCGGGUUGUAAACCGCUUUCGGCUGUGACGAAGCGUGAGUGACGGUAAUGGGUAAAGAAGCACCGGCUAACUACGUG